UUGCUCGCCUUGGCAGCACAUAAACUAAAUUGGAAGAUUAGCAUGGCCCCUGCACAAGAAUGAUGCUCUGGUUCUCUCUUUCU
Molecule: small nuclear RNA, 83 nt
Filed under: Erinaceus europaeus (western European hedgehog)
Lineage: Eukaryota; Metazoa; Chordata; Mammalia; Eulipotyphla; Erinaceidae
Source: RNAcentral